GAGUUUGAUCGUGGCUCAGAUUGAACGCUGGCGGCAUGCCUUACACAUGCAAGUCGAACGGCAGCAUGAUCUAGCUUGCUAGAUUGAUGGCGAGUGGCGAACGGGUGAGUAAUACGUCGGAACGUGCCCUGUAGUGGGGGAUAACUAGUCGAAAGAUUAGCUAAUACCGCAUACGACCUGAGGGUGAAAGUGGGGGACCGCAAGGCCUCAUGCUAUAGGAGCGGCCGAUGUCUGAUUAGCUAGUUGGUGGGUAAAGGCCCACCAAGGCGACGAUCAGUAGCUGGUCUGAGAGGACGAUCAGCCACACUGGGACUGAGACACGGCCCAGACUCCUACGGGAGGCAGCAGUGGGGAAUUUUGGACAAUGGGCGAAAGCCUGAUCCAGCAAUGCCGCGUGUGUGAAGAAGGCCUCGGUGUAAG
Molecule: ribosomal RNA, 420 nt
Filed under: uncultured microorganism
Description: bacterial SSU rRNA
Rfam family: Bacterial small subunit ribosomal RNA
Source: RNAcentral